GAUGAACGCUGGCGGCGUGCCUAAUACAUGCAAGUCGAGCGAACAGACGAGGAGCUUGCUCCUCUGACGUUAGCGGCGGACGGGUGAGUAACACGUGGAUAACCUACCUAUAAGACUGGGAUAACUUCGGGAAACCGGAGCUAAUACCGGAUAAUAUAUUGAACCGCAUGGUUCAAUAGUGAAAGACGGUUUUGCUGUCACUUAUAGAUGGAUCCGCGCCGCAUUAGCUAGUUGGUAAGGUAACGGCUUACCAAGGCAACGAUGCGUAGCCGACCUGAGAGGGUGAUCGGCCACACUGGAACUGAGACACGGUCCAGACUCCUACGGGAGGCAGCAGUAGGGAAUCUUCCGCAAUGGGCGAAAGCCUGACGGAGCAACGCCGCGUAAGUGAUGAAGGUCUUCGGAUCGUAAAACUCUGUUAUUAGGGAAGAACAAAUGUGUAAGUAACUAUGCACGUCUUGACGGUACCUAAUCAGAAAGCCACGGCUAACUACGU
Molecule: ribosomal RNA, 496 nt
Filed under: uncultured bacterium
Lineage: Bacteria
Description: partial 16S ribosomal RNA
Rfam family: Bacterial small subunit ribosomal RNA
Source: RNAcentral